AGAUUGAACGCUGGCGGCAUGCCUUACACAUGCAAGUCGAACGGUAGAGUAGCAAUACUCGAGAGUGGCGAACGGGUGAGUAAUAUAUCGGAACGUGCCCAGUCGUGGGGGAUAACGUAGAGAAAUUUACGCUAAUACCGCAUACGAUCUAAGGAUGAAAGCGGGGGACUCGCAAGAGCCUCGCGCGAUUGGAGCGGCUGAUAUCAGAUUAGGUUGUUGGUGAGGUAAAAGCUCACCAAGCCGACGAUCUGUAGCUGGUUUGAGAGAACGACCAGCCACACUGGGACUGAGACACGGCCCAGACUCCUACGGGAGGCAGCAGUGGGGAAUUUUGGACAAUGGGCGAAAGCCUGAUCCAGCAAUGCCGCGUGCAAGGAAGAAAGG
Molecule: ribosomal RNA, 384 nt
Filed under: uncultured soil bacterium
Lineage: Bacteria
Description: bacterial SSU rRNA
Rfam family: Bacterial small subunit ribosomal RNA
Source: RNAcentral